AAUUGAUUGAAGUGACUCAGUUCAGUUACAAAGACAUAUUAUACAAGGCUAAGCUGUAAAGCUCUUGCACUACCAACUUCAUCCAUUUCAGCAGAAAGUAAGGCUAAGAUCAGAAACAAACAAGAACAAAAAACUCAGAAUCAUAGCUUGGUGAGGAAGACAAAUAGAAGCAAUCAAUAAUGGAGAUUGAUCUCCUAUUGCUACUCAGGUAUAUGCUCUGAUACCAUGAAACAAUACUGAGCUAAUUUGAGAGAUAAGAAAAUGUAUUGAAGAAUGAAUUGAUUUAAGCAAUUCGGUUCUGUCACAAAGACUAUAUAUUCAAGACUAAGCUGUAAAGCUGUAACUAACUGAGUUCAAGAUAUGCCACAUCAUGGGUAAAAAAU
This 383-nucleotide unclassified non-coding RNA is filed under the name Hevea brasiliensis (rubber tree). The record is from RNAcentral. Lineage: Eukaryota; Viridiplantae; Streptophyta; Magnoliopsida; Malpighiales; Euphorbiaceae.